Episyrphus balteatus (marmalade hoverfly) is the source of this 2195-nucleotide long non-coding RNA. RefSeq lists it as uncharacterized. The transcript has 7 exons. NCBI's taxonomy places the organism in Eukaryota, Metazoa, Arthropoda, Insecta, Diptera, Syrphidae. The record is from RefSeq and is a predicted model, not a curated record.
UGUCUUUUUUGAAGUCUACUUUUUGACGUAUUGGAAGAACGAAGAAUUCUUUCAGUAAAAAAAAGUAUUUUAUUAAAAUAUUUUUUGUGCAAAGAUAAAUGUCGGGGAAAAUAAUUGAACCAUGUUAGAAAAAGAUGCAAAUUUAUCACAUAUGGAAUCGUGUUGGAAGGAAGGAGGGCCAAAUGCAUCAACAACACCAUCCGCAACAGCAUUAUCACACCAGCAUCAACAACAACUAGGUACCUAAUAUCUUUGCAAUUUUAUGCUUACGCUGAGGACUGCUCCAAGACAAUUAUCUAGAUGAAAACAUCCAAAAGCCGUGUUUCAUUUUCAGGACUCCUGAUGAGGAUUAAAAUAAAGCUAUCCAUCUAAUCAUCGACGAAAAAGAAAUUGUAUUUGACGACUCAUGAAUUCCGGGUGCACUGAGCGUACUUUCGAGAGGACUGACAAAAGAGUAGAUCUCUCAACGAAUAUAAUUUAUAUCCUGUUUCUACACAUUCACAAAGUUUCAUCCUAUGAUUGUGCAGUAUAAGAUUGGUUAUGUAUUGUUAGCAUGGAUGUCAUUGAAUUGGAACUACGGCGCUACGCAAUUAUGCGUAAAGGAUUUUCAUCUUCGAAAUUAUCCCAACACUAAGCUCAGUAAAGAGAAACAACCUAAAGAGAUAGAACCCCCACGCGUAUCCCCGAAUUAAAACUACGCCCAAAACCUGGUAAUUGGAAUAGCUUUCAUGGUUCCAUGUCGUCAAUCACUCAUCAUCCCUUAUAAAGAGUAUAAUUUUAGGUAUCAGAAACACCUAUCUUCAAGAUCUACACGACCCGAAGCCAAAACCAACAGCAAUAUGAAGCAUUAGCUUCAAACGAUCCAAAAGUAAAAAAAGAAGAAUAUGAAUGAUUGAAUAAACAAUUGAAAAUAUUCGUCAAGAAACAAGAACCACUCUUCAGAGUUGCCUUCUAUCUUCUGCUCAAUAUGGCUGAGAAUGUUGAACUUUAAGAGAAGAUACAUCGUAAAAAUAUAGUCAAUAUGCUUGCCAAGCUAGUGACGAUGACAAAGUUCCUUAAGAAACUUUAAAUAUUUGGUGAUAAUAAAGCUAACAUGAACGACCUAAACAUUGUCGCCAAAGCUGAUGCAGCAGUGGCUGAUGAAGCAAUGGCAAUGCUGACCCAAUACAAGAUAACCUUAAGUUAGUUUUCAGUUUAUCCCUUGAUGGAUCAUUACGUCGGAAAAUGUAUCAAGCUGCAUUACUACCAAUGUUGGUGAUGUUUUUAUAAAGAAAAGCAUCAUGGUAUUGCUUUGAAAAUCUUGUUUCACAUAACUUUGGAUGGUAAGGUAAAAUCAAUGUUAACCAAACAGAAUAUGUGCGAAUGGCAACUGAUGCUAUAUAAUUCUCAAUAUAAAUACCAAAGUUGACCUCGUUGCGCUAUGCAUUCCUUUGCUAAACAAAUAACGUUAUGUACAAAUAAUGGUCGCUGGCAAUGGCCUACACAAUCUAAUGAAUCAAGCCUUUAAAUAUCAGGAUGCUGUUCUAAUAAAACGUAUUCAAAAUCUAUCACCGCAUAAAAAUCUUCAACACAUUAUGUUUAUCGAUUAUGUGAAAUUUGGCCCGCAUCAAAUCACAGUGAAUAAGAAACCGAAAUUUCUUCACGUAUCCGAAAUCACAAAGGCUGGCAGAGUCAAUCACGAGUUGGUGACUACUGUGUUUGUGAAAGAUGUGGUGAGUGCGGAGCAAUGUUGGAUGAAUACAAAUUUAAUUCCAUGGCAGUACGCGAGUACUACAAAAUUUUUUUUGGAUCAUCGUCUGCAGCAGGUUACUCUUGAUAGCAAUGCCAGGAGGACAUCAUUGGAAUUCGGAGCGACCCAGAGUGCCCUAGAGCUCACAACAAACCUUAUGUAAUUGACUGCAUCCAGAAGAAUUUCUCUGAAAAUACUGGAGCCCAAACACCUAAAACGAUUUGGUGUCUGUUUAAAUACAAUAAACCAAGUAAUGCGAUCAAGUAUGAUGCGCAAAAUGUAUGAAACUGAAUAUUAUGUACAUAUUUUAUAAACCACUUUUGUAAUGAACAAAAAGUAUUGUUUAAAAAUGUUGAUAAAGUAUGAACUUAGUUGUUAAAUAAGUAUAAUAAUACUCUGUUCCUACUUAUUUUUUCAAUAACUAACAACCACAGAUUGAGUGAUUAUAAAAAUUCUUGAAUUAAAU